This 322-nucleotide ribosomal RNA is filed under the name uncultured bacterium. RNAcentral's name for it is "bacterial SSU rRNA". It matches the Rfam family "Bacterial small subunit ribosomal RNA", at positions 30 to 358 of the family's 1533-position model. The record is from RNAcentral.
AUUGAACGCUGGCGGCAUGCCUUACACAUGCAAGUCGAACGGCAGCACGGGAGCAAUCCUGGUGGCGAGUGGCGAACGAGUGAGUAAUACAUCGGAACGUGCCCAGUAGUGGGGGAUAACCCGGCGAAAGCCGGACUAAUACCGCAUACGACCUACGGGUGAAAGCAGGGAUCGCAAGACCUUGCGCUAUUGGAGCGGCCGAUGUCAGAUUAGCUUGGGUGGGUAAAGCCUACCAAGCAACGAUCUGUAGCUGGUCUGAGAGGACGACCAGCCACACUGGGACUGAGACACGGCCCAGACUCCUACGGGAGGCAGCAGUGGG